RNAcentral lists this transfer RNA (77 nucleotides) under Hordeum vulgare. Its description in RNAcentral is "tRNA-Met". It matches the Rfam family "tRNA". From Rfam's summary of the family: Transfer RNA (tRNA) molecules are approximately 80 nucleotides in length. Their secondary structure includes four short double-helical elements and three loops (D, anti-codon, and T loops). The record is from RNAcentral. Lineage: Eukaryota; Viridiplantae; Streptophyta; Magnoliopsida; Poales; Poaceae.
GCAUCCAUGUGGCUGGAAUGGUUAAAGCGCCCAACUCAUAAUUGGUAAAUUUGCGGGUUCAAUUCCUGCUGGAUGCA